GACGAACGCUGGCGGCGUGCCUAACACAUGCAAGUCGAGCGAUGAAGUUUCCUUCGGGAAACGGAUUAGCGGCGGACGGGUGAGUAACACGUGGGUAACCUGCCUUGUAGAGGGGAAUAGCCUUCCGAAAGGAAGAUUAAUACCGCAUAAUAUUGUACUUUCGCAUGAAAGAACAAUUAAAGGAGCAAUCCGCUACAAGAUGGACCCGCGGCGCAUUAGCUAGUUGGUAAGGUAAUGGCUUACCAAGGCGACGAUGCGUAGCCGACCUGAGAGGGUGAUCGGCCACAUUGGGACUGAGACACGGCCCAGACUCCUACGGGAGGCAGCAGUGGGGAAUAUUGCACAAUGGGGGAAACCCUGAUGCAGCAACGCCGCGUGAGUGAUGACGGUCUUCGGAUUGUAAAGCUCUGUCUUUKGGGACGAUAAU
RNAcentral lists this ribosomal RNA (427 nucleotides) under uncultured bacterium. RNAcentral's name for it is "bacterial SSU rRNA". It matches the Rfam family "Bacterial small subunit ribosomal RNA", at positions 28 to 452 of the family's 1533-position model. The record is from RNAcentral.